Molecule: transfer RNA, 71 nt
Filed under: Nicotiana sylvestris (wood tobacco)
Lineage: Eukaryota; Viridiplantae; Streptophyta; Magnoliopsida; Solanales; Solanaceae
Rfam family: tRNA
About the family: Transfer RNA (tRNA) molecules are approximately 80 nucleotides in length. Their secondary structure includes four short double-helical elements and three loops (D, anti-codon, and T loops).
Source: Rfam by way of RNAcentral
UCCUCAAUAGCUUAGUGCUAGAACGGUCGGCUGUUAGCCGAUUGGCCAUAGAUCGAAUCCUACUUGGGGAC